UAGAAAUGUAAAAUGUAAAUAAAAAACUAAGUGUAUACAAAAGAAAACAUAGGUAGCGAAAAUAUUUUUUGAAAAAAAAGACUACAGUUUGUAAACACGUUACAAUAUGAUUAUCUAUACAGUAUACAUUCAUUGGCGUUAACGAAUAAAAUAAUACCGGAGUAUCAUACUGCGUGUUAAUAAUUCAUUGAAGUAUGAAUCUAUAAUUAUUAACUUGCACGGAUUCAUUUUUAUUUGAACAGAUUCUUGAAGCAACGUGUAAGGUAGACAUCACAUACUUCCCUUUCGACACACAGGAAUGUCCUCUGAAGUUUUCUGCAUGGAGCUAUGAUAAAGAAGAAGUAGCUUUGUCUGAAUCAAAAAACGGAAUCUAUUCGGAAGACUUUGAAGAAAAUUCAAGAUGGUUGUUGGUAAACACAACAGCAGAUUCGAAAAAAGAAGAUGGUUUUGUGAUUUUUAAGAUGACACUGAAGAGGAAGUCAACAUUUUACGUGUUCUACAUACUCAUCCCAAUCGUCCUACUUUCGUUUUUAAACGUCCUCACAUUUGCACUUCCGGUAUCGUCGGGUGAGCGUGCUUCUUACGCUAUCACAGUGAUCCUGUCUUUGGCCGUAUUUCUAACAAUUGUAGCGUCUGAGAUUCCAAAGAACUCCGACACCAUUCCAGUCAUCUCAGUUUAUAUCACGGCAAUAAUAACACUCAGCACUGCUAACAUAAUAACGUCACUGUUAGAAUCGCGACUUGCGUCCCGAGAUAAAUACAAGGACCCAAUAGCCCCUGGAUAUAUGGCACUUAACCGAUUAGCUCGGAUUUGUAAGUGUAAACGUGACGGAAAGAACCAUCCGGCAACAGACAUUGAAUGGGAAGACGUUGUAGCUGCAUUGGAUUAUUUCUUGUUUUGGUUGUUUUUUGUGCUUACCAUUGUAGCAACUGUAGUUUGGUUUGUAAUUGCAAACAGACGGCAAAGUGAGUAAUUAGAAACAAAUUAAAUGUGCAUUUCAAAAAAUAAAUAAAUACGAGGGUGAUGUGUCGCUUUAGCAAACAUAUUAAUAUAUUCAAAUAAAAAGGAACAUACGUUGAACGAUUUGGACGUGGUUAAAUAGUGAGCAUACCCGAGGUAAGAAAACGAAUUUUUCGUAUUUGCAUCCAAUAACACAAAACAGCUAUCAAGGGGCCUUCGUCCUGACCAUUGACCUAUAUCCAUUGCAGCAGCAGCUGAAUUCUCCAGUACAUUUGUAUGUGUCAAAGAUAUCUUCCGAUCAGAUUUGAGUCUGAUUUCAAACCACGUACGUUCUUUAUAUUCUCCAGAGUAUUUAAAUAACAUCAAGCUAAUCGAUGCUGAAUUUACCAUCUAAAUCAUCGUUUUCUUUGAAAUAUGGCUUGAUCGUAGUAUUAAACGAUAUAUCCUGCAAAUGCCACUUUUCUGGUUAGAAAAUAUUGAACUGACCGAAUGGCUUUUUGUCUUAAAAAUAUUAUUUACGGUGUUCUCAGAUCCGACGUUGAAAUACAUGGACUGAGUCACGAUAUAAAUUUCAACCAUAGCCGAUAUUUAAGUUUGUUUAUUUACUACAAGUUAACACUCAAGGCAGCUGAAAUAGCCAUCGCUGCUUCCAAAUUAAAACUCUUAAUAUCUUCUAUCUGACUCAAUCGAUUGGGAAUAAAUAUUUUAAUCAUAUUAUCUUUUGGAAACAAAAACGACAUAACAUACAUAAAUUUUAUUAUGAUAUUUUAGUCUGCACAGUAUGAUUCAAUUCUUAUUAUUGUAUUUAGCAUAAAGUUUGUGAGAUAUAUUUUAGUACACUAUUUAUAUGUUUCAUUAUUUACAUGUAUAUAGAGAAUAAUAGGUUGGUGACGUGGAUGGAGAAUGGCACCAACCUAUCAUUAUAUUUAUCCUGUAAAAAAUUUCUUUUAAUUGUAUUCUUUUUUCACCGUUUUUUCAUUGUACAAGAUUUUAACUCGGGAGUUUUGCUGGAAUAAUGACGUCAUUUCAUAAAAAAAUGACGUCAUUUCACAGUAAAACAGAGAUAUCAGGUUACCUGGCCAUCUAGCCCAUUAUCUUUUGGGAUAUUAGGUUAGCUGGUUAUCGGGCCGAUUUAAAAGCAUGUGACAGGAUAAAAUUCCAUUACCGUACACUAGAUAAUUAUUUCCUCCAAUAUUUAUUCGGAUUUUUUUUCGAAAUAAAAUGAUAAAAAUAAACCAACCUCAUGUCAUUACAUCAGAAAUUCGUAUACAGGAGAGAUUGGGAAAAUGUGUUACCAAUAAACUAAUCCCAAACACA
Long non-coding RNA from Dreissena polymorpha, 2278 nucleotides. RefSeq lists it as uncharacterized. Lineage: Eukaryota; Metazoa; Mollusca; Bivalvia; Myida; Dreissenidae. The transcript is spliced from 2 exons. The record is from RefSeq and is a predicted model, not a curated record.